GAUGAACGCUGGCUACAGGCUUAACACAUGCAAGUCGAGGGGAAACGACGGGGAAGCUUGCUUCCCCGGGCGUCGACCGGCGCACGGGUGAGUAACGCGUAUCCAACCUGCCUCUGACUGAGGGAUAACCCGUCGAAAGUCGGCCUAAUACCUCAUGGCAUCGUCUGCGGGCAUCCAACGACGAUUAAAGAUUUCAUCGGUCAGAGAUGGGGAUGCGUCUGAUUAGCUUGUUGGCGGGGUAACGGCCCACCAAGGCGACGAUCAGUAGGGGUUCUGAGAGGAAGGUCCCCCACAUUGGAACUGAGACACGGUCCAAACUCCUACGGGAGGCAGCAGUGAGGAAUAUUGGUCAAUGGGCGAGAGCCUGAACCAGCCAAGUAGCGUGCAGGAUGACGGCCCUAUGGGUUGUAAACUGAUUUUAUGCGGGGAUAAAGUGAGGGACGUGUCCUUCAUUGCAGGUACCGCAUGAAUAAGGACCGGCUAAUUCCGUG
RNAcentral lists this ribosomal RNA (491 nucleotides) under uncultured bacterium. RNAcentral describes it as "partial 16S ribosomal RNA". It matches the Rfam family "Bacterial small subunit ribosomal RNA", at positions 28 to 507 of the family's 1533-position model. The record is from RNAcentral.